RNAcentral lists this ribosomal RNA (481 nucleotides) under uncultured bacterium. RNAcentral describes it as "bacterial SSU rRNA". It matches the Rfam family "Bacterial small subunit ribosomal RNA", at positions 29 to 507 of the family's 1533-position model. The record is from RNAcentral.
AAUAAACGCUGGCGGCGUGCCUAACACAUGCAAGUCGAGCGAGAAAGCUCCUUCGGGAGUUAGUAAAGCGGCGAACGGGUGAGCAACACGUGAGAAUCUACCCUUUAGUGAAGAAUACCCUCGAGAAAUCGAGGCUAAUACUGCAUACGUCCCUUCGGGGAGAAAGAUGGCCUCUUUGCUAUCGCUAAAGGAUGAGCUUGCGUACUAUUAGCUAGUUGGCGGGGUAAAGGCCCACCAAGGCAAUGAUGGUUAACCGGCCUGAGAGGGUGUACGGUCACACUGGAACUUAGACACGGUCCAGACUCCUACGGGAGGCAGCAGUGAGGAAUCUUGCGCAAUGGGCGAAAGCCUGACGCAGCGACGCCGCGUGGAGGAUGACGGUUUUCGGAUUGUAAACUCCUGUUAAGCGGGAAGAAAGCCUUGUUUCUAAUACAAGCAAGGUAUGACGGUACCGCUAGAGAAAGCACCGGCUAACUUCGUG